Molecule: ribosomal RNA, 1492 nt
Filed under: Lacticaseibacillus paracasei
Lineage: Bacteria; Bacillati; Bacillota; Bacilli; Lactobacillales; Lactobacillaceae
Description: bacterial SSU rRNA
Rfam family: Bacterial small subunit ribosomal RNA
Source: RNAcentral
GAUGAACGCUGGCGGCGUGCCUAAUACAUGCAAGUCGAACGAGUUCUUGUUGAUGAUCGGUGCUUGCACCAAGAUUCAACAUGGAACGAGUGGCGGACGGGUGAGUAACACGUGGGUAACCUGCCCUUAAGUGGGGGAUAACAUUUGGAAACAGAUGCUAAUACCGCAUAGAUCCAAGAACCGCAUGGUUCUUGGCUGAAAGAUGGCGUAAGCUAUCGCUUUUGGAUGGACCCGCGGCGUAUUAGCUAGUUGGUGAGGUAAUGGCUCACCAAGGCGAUGAUACGUAGCCGAACUGAGAGGUUGAUCGGCCACAUUGGGACUGAGACACGGCCCAAACUCCUACGGGAGGCAGCAGUAGGGAAUCUUCCACAAUGGACGCAAGUCUGAUGGAGCAACGCCGCGUGAGUGAAGAAGGCUUUCGGGUCGUAAAACUCUGUUGUUGGAGAAGAAUGGUCGGCAGAGUAACUGUUGUCGGCGUGACGGUAUCCAACCAGAAAGCCACGGCUAACUACGUGCCAGCAGCCGCGGUAAUACGUAGGUGGCAAGCGUUAUCCGGAUUUAUUGGGCGUAAAGCGAGCGCAGGCGGUUUUUUAAGUCUGAUGUGAAAGCCCUCGGCUUAACCGAGGAAGCGCAUCGGAAACUGGGAAACUUGAGUGCAGAAGAGGACAGUGGAACUCCAUGUGUAGCGGUGAAAUGCGUAGAUAUAUGGAAGAACACCAGUGGCGAAGGCGGCUGUCUGGUCUGUAACUGACGCUGAGGCUCGAAAGCAUGGGUAGCGAACAGGAUUAGACACCCUGGUAGUCCAUGCCGUAAACGAUGAAUGCUAGGUGUUGGAGGGUUUCCGCCCUUCAGUGCCGCAGCUAACGCAUUAAGCAUUCCGCCUGGGGAGUACGACCGCAAGGUUGAAACUCAAAGGAAUUGACGGGGGCCCGCACAAGCGGUGGAGCAUGUGGUUUAAUUCGAAGCAACGCGAAGAACCUUACCAGGUCUUGACAUCUUUUGAUCACCUGAGAGAUCAGGUUUCCCCUUCGGGGGCAAAAUGACAGGUGGUGCAUGGUUGUCGUCAGCUCGUGUCGUGAGAUGUUGGGUUAAGUCCCGCAACGAGCGCAACCCUUAUGACUAGUUGCCAGCAUUUAGUUGGGCACUCUAGUAAGACUGCCGGUGACAAACCGGAGGAAGGUGGGGAUGACGUCAAAUCAUCAUGCCCCUUAUGACCUGGGCUACACACGUGCUACAAUGGAUGGUACAACGAGUUGCGAGACCGCGAGGUCAAGCUAAUCUCUUAAAGCCAUUCUCAGUUCGGACUGUAGGCUGCAACUCGCCUACACGAAGUCGGAAUCGCUAGUAAUCGCGGAUCAGCACGCCGCGGUGAAUACGUUCCCGGGCCUUGUACACACCGCCCGUCACACCAUGAGAGUUUGUAACACCCGAAGCCGGUGGCGUAACCCUUUUAGGGAGCGAGCCGUCUAAGGUGGGACAAAUGAUUAGGGUG